UCGAGAAUUUUUCACAAUGGGCGCAAGCCUGAUGGAGCGACGCCGCGUGGGGGAUGAAUGGCUUCGGCCCGUAAACCCCUGUCAUUCGGGAGCAAUGCCCGCGAUAUAACACAUGGCGGGUUGAUAGUACCGGAAGAGGAAGGGACGGCUAACUCUGUGCCAGCAGCCGCGGUAAUACAGAGGUCCCAAGCGUUGUUCGGAUUUACUGGGCGUAAAGGGUGCGUAGGUGGUCGGGUAAGUCUGGUGUGAAAUCUCGGAGCUCAACUCCGAAACUGCAUUGGAUACUAUCCGGCUCGAGGUUGGGAGGGGGGACUGGAAUUCUCGGUGUAGCAGUGAAAUGCGUAGAUAUCGAGAGGAACACCAGUGGCGAAGGCGAGUCCCUGGACCAAUCCUGACGCUGAGGCACGAAAGCCAGGGGAGCAAACG
RNAcentral lists this ribosomal RNA (426 nucleotides) under uncultured prokaryote. RNAcentral describes it as "bacterial SSU rRNA". It matches the Rfam family "Bacterial small subunit ribosomal RNA", at positions 355 to 774 of the family's 1533-position model. The record is from RNAcentral.